This 222-nucleotide ribosomal RNA is filed under the name uncultured Glomeromycotina. Its description in RNAcentral is "partial 18S ribosomal RNA". The stretch from base 46 to 222 matches the Rfam family "Eukaryotic small subunit ribosomal RNA", at positions 693 to 869 of the family's 1831-position model. Lineage: Eukaryota; Fungi; Glomeromycota. The record is from RNAcentral.
GGACCAAUAUGUCGGUCGUGCCUCGGUACGUACUGGCAUCGUUGGUUUCUCCCUUCUGACGAACCAUGAUGUCAUUUAUUUGGUGUCGUGGGGAAUCAGGACUGUUACUUUGGAAAAAAAUUAGAGUGUUUAAAGCAGGCUCACGCUUGAAUACAUUAGCAUGGAAUAAUGAAAUAGGACGUUUGAUUCUAUUUUGUUGGUUUCUAGGAUCGACGUAAUGAU